CAGCCCUUAAAUCUCCGAGCCGCUACCACCUACGAGCGUGAUCAUGGUGGUCCGGCCGCCAGGUGGUCCCGGAAACGGUAUCGCCCCCCAUGUUUGGAAAGGAGAUUUCCGCCAUGAGCG
Desulfuromonas acetoxidans DSM 684 is the source of this 120-nucleotide regulatory RNA element. It matches the Rfam family "Molybdenum/Tungsten riboswitch aptamer (Moco RNA motif)". The record is from Rfam. Lineage: Bacteria; Pseudomonadati; Thermodesulfobacteriota; Desulfuromonadia; Desulfuromonadales; Desulfuromonadaceae.